Molecule: ribosomal RNA, 369 nt
Filed under: uncultured bacterium
Lineage: Bacteria
Description: bacterial SSU rRNA
Rfam family: Bacterial small subunit ribosomal RNA
Source: RNAcentral
AGUGAACGCUGGCGGCGUGCUUAACACAUGCAAGUCGAACGAGAACGGAUUAUAGCUUGCUAUAAUUGUCAGCUAAGUGGCGCACGGGUGAGUAAUAUAUAGGUAACGUGCCCCAAAGAAGAGGAUAACAGAUGGAAACGUCUGCUAAGACUCUAUAUGCCUUUAUGACAAAAGUCAGCAAGGGAAUAUUUAUAGCUUUGGGAUCGGCCUGUACAGUAUCAGUUAGUGGUGAGGUAAUGGCUCACCAAGACAAUGACGCUUAACUGGUUUGAGAGGAUGAUCAGUCACACUGGAACUGAGACACGGUCCAGACUCCUACGGGAGGCAGCAGUGGGGAAUAUUGCACAAUGGACGAAAGUCUGAUGCAGC